UUACAAAAGGAAAACAGGGAAAGGGAGACGUCUCACUGCCUGGCACAGCAUCACAAAGCCCCCUCAUCCCAGACCGUGCCCCUUU
Molecule: non-coding RNA, 85 nt
Organism: Tursiops truncatus (common bottlenose dolphin)
Lineage: Eukaryota; Metazoa; Chordata; Mammalia; Artiodactyla; Delphinidae
Source: Rfam